UGGGGAAUAUUGCACAAUGGGCGCAAGCCUGAUGCAGCCAUGCCGCGUGUGUGAAGAAGGCCUCGGGUUGUAAAGCACUUUCAGCGAGGAGGAAGGUGGUGAGCUUAAUACGCUCAUCAAUUGACGUUACUCGCAGAAGAAGCACCGGCUAACUCCGUGCCAGCAGCCGCGGUAAUACGGAGGGUGCAAGCGUUAAUCGGAAUUACUGGGCGUAAAGCGCACGCAGGCGGUUUGUUAAGUCAGAUGUGAAAUCCCCGGGCUCAACCUGGGAACUGCAUUUGAAACUGGCAAGCUAGAGUCUCGUGGAGGGGGGUAGAAUUCCAGGUGUAGCGGUGAAAUGCGUAGAGAUCUGGAGGAAUACCGGUGGCGAAGGCGGCCCCCUGGACGAAGACUGACGCUCAGGUGCGAAAGCGUGGGGCAGCAAACAGGAUUAGAUACCCUGGUAGUCCAGCGCUGUAAACGAUGUCGAUUUUGGAGGUUGUGCCCUUGAGGCGUGGCUUCCGGAGCUAACGCGUUAAAGUCGACCGCCUGGGGAGUACGGCCGCAAGGUUAAAACUCAAAGGAAUUG
This 568-nucleotide ribosomal RNA is filed under the name uncultured bacterium. RNAcentral's name for it is "partial 16S ribosomal RNA". It matches the Rfam family "Bacterial small subunit ribosomal RNA", at positions 355 to 912 of the family's 1533-position model. The record is from RNAcentral.